RNAcentral lists this ribosomal RNA (1491 nucleotides) under human gut metagenome. RNAcentral describes it as "bacterial SSU rRNA". The stretch from base 216 to 1491 matches the Rfam family "Bacterial small subunit ribosomal RNA". The record is from RNAcentral.
GUGGUGGUGGUUUGAGAACUCAAGAGCGUGUUUGUACUACUUCUUUAUAGUCAAUGAUUGCCAGUUCAUUCCUCGCCUGAUUGCCUGUCGUGGUGGUUGGGUACCCGGGAGGGUUUGAUGAGGGGUGAGGUUUUUUGAGGGCGUCCUUCCUUAAGGACGUGCUCGUCAAUUUUUGUUUUGAGAGUCAUCUAUUCGGAUGCUUUUCAUGAAGUUUUUUUGUGGAGGGUUCGAUUCUGGCUCAGGAUGAACGCUGGCGGCGUGCUUAACACAUGCAAGUCGAACGGGAUCCAUCAAGCUUGGAGAUACGGCCCAGACUCCUACGGGAGGCAGCAGUGGGGAAUAUUGCACAAUGGGCGCAAGCCUGAUGCAGCGACGCCGCGUGAGGGAUGGAGGCCUUCGGGUUGUAAACCUCUUUUAUCGGGGAGCAAGCGAGAGUGAGUUUACCCGUUGAAUAAGCACCGGCUAACUACGUGCCAGCAGCCGCGGUAAUACGUAGGGUGCAAGCGUUAUCCGGAAUUAUUGGGCGUAAAGGGCUCGUAGGCGGUUCGUCGCGUCCGGUGUGAAAGUCCAUCGCUUAACGGUGGAUCCGCGCCGGGUACGGGCGGGCUUGAGUGCGGUAGGGGAGACUGGAAUUCCCGGUGUAACGGUGGAAUGUGUAGAUAUCGGGAAGAACACCAAUGGCGAAGGCAGGUCUCUGGGCCGUUACUGACGCUGAGGAGCGAAAGCGUGGGGAGCGAACAGGAUUAGAUACCCUGGUAGUCCACGCCGUAAACGGUGGAUGCUGGAUGUGGGGCCCGUUCCACGGGUUCCGUGUCGGAGCUAACGCGUUAAGCAUCCCGCCUGGGGAGUACGGCCGCAAGGCUAAAACUCAAAGAAAUUGACGGGGGCCCGCACAAGCGGCGGAGCAUGCGGAUUAAUUCGAUGCAACGCGAAGAACCUUACCUGGGCUUGACAUGUUCCCGACGGUCGUAGAGAUACGGCUUCCCUUCGGGGCGGGUUCACAGGUGGUGCAUGGUCGUCGUCAGCUCGUGUCGUGAGAUGUUGGGUUAAGUCCCGCAACGAGCGCAACCCUCGCCCCGUGUUGCCAGCGGAUUAUGCCGGGAACUCACGGGGGACCGCCGGGGUUAACUCGGAGGAAGGUGGGGAUGACGUCAGAUCAUCAUGCCCCUUACGUCCAGGGCUUCACGCAUGCUACAAUGGCCGGUACAACGGGAUGCGACGCGGCGACGCGGAGCGGAUCCCUGAAAACCGGUCUCAGUUCGGAUCGCAGUCUGCAACUCGACUGCGUGAAGGCGGAGUCGCUAGUAAUCGCGAAUCAGCAACGUCGCGGUGAAUGCGUUCCCGGGCCUUGUACACACCGCCCGUCAAGUCAUGAAAGUGGGCAGCACCCGAAGCCGGUGGCCUAACCCCUUGUGGGAUGGAGCCGUCUAAGGUGAGGCUCGUGAUUGGGACUAAGUCGUAACAAGGUAGCCGUACCGGAAGGUGCGGCUG